Suricata suricatta (meerkat) is the source of this 103-nucleotide small nuclear RNA. Lineage: Eukaryota; Metazoa; Chordata; Mammalia; Carnivora; Herpestidae. The record is from Ensembl.
GUGCUCGCUUCAGCAGCACAUAUACUAAAAUUGUGUAUACAGAAGAUUAGCAUGGCCCCUGUGCAAGGAAGACAUGCAAAUUCGUGAAGCGUUCCAUAUUUUU